This 274-nucleotide ribosomal RNA is filed under the name uncultured bacterium. RNAcentral describes it as "partial 16S ribosomal RNA". It matches the Rfam family "Bacterial small subunit ribosomal RNA", at positions 523 to 796 of the family's 1533-position model. The record is from RNAcentral.
AUACAGAGGGUGCGAGCGUUAAUCGGAAUUACUGGGCGUAAAGCGCGCGUAGGCGGCUUAUUAAGUCAGAUGUGAAAUCCCCGGGCUCAACCUGGGAACUGCAUCUGAUACUGGUAAGCUAGAGUUUUGGAGAGGGAAGUAGAAUUUCAGGUGUAGCGGUGAAAUGCAUAGAGAUCUGAAGGAAUAACAGUGGCGAAGGCGACUUCCUGGCCAAAAACUGACGCUGAGGUGCGAAAGCGUGGGUAGCAAACGGGAGUAGAAACCCGAGUAGUCC